This 853-nucleotide ribosomal RNA is filed under the name Clostridioides difficile. Its description in RNAcentral is "partial 23S ribosomal RNA". It matches the Rfam family "Bacterial large subunit ribosomal RNA", at positions 683 to 1541 of the family's 2925-position model. Lineage: Bacteria; Bacillati; Bacillota; Clostridia; Peptostreptococcales; Peptostreptococcaceae. The record is from RNAcentral.
UUUAACUGAGCGUUCAGUUACUUGACGUAGACCCGAAACCGGGCGACCUACCCAUGAGCAGGAUGAAGCGAAAGUAAAAUUUCGUGGAGGUCCGAACCCACGAGCGUUGAAAAGCUCGGGGAUGACUUGUGGGUAGCGGUGAAAUUCCAAUCGAGCCCGGAGAUAGCUGGUUCUCCCCGAAAUAGCUUUAGGGCUAGCCUCAAGGUGAGAGAUACGGAGGUAGAGCACUGAAUGUCCUAGGGGGUAUUGCACCUACCGAAGACUAUCAAACUCCGAAUGCCGUCAUCUUAUACUUGGGAGUCAGACUGUGGGUGAUAAGAUUCAUAGUCGAAAGGGCAACAGCCCAGAUCGUCAGCUAAGGUCCCUAAAUGUAAGUUAAGUGGUAAAGGAUGUGGGAUUGCACAGACAACCAGGAUGUUGGCUUAGAAGCAGCCACUCAUUCAAAGAGUGCGUAAUAGCUCACUGGUCGAGUGAUCCUGCGCCGAAGAUUUCCGGGGCUAAAACUUACUACCGAAGCUACGGCAUCAGUAAUGAUGGGUAGGGGAGCUUCCCAUACGGGUUGAAGCAUGACCGUAAGGACAUGUGGACAGUAUGGGAGUGAGAAUGUUGGCAUGAGUAGCGAGAUGUGGGUGAGAAUCCCACAGGCCGUAAACCCAAGGUUUCCAGGGGAAGGUUCGUCCGCCCUGGGUUAGUCGGGACCUAAGCUGAGGCCGAAAGGCGUAGGUGAUGGACAACAGGUUGAUAUUCCUGUACUACCGAUAACCGUUUGAGAGAUGGGAUGACACAGUAGGAUAAGCUAAGCACACUGUUGGUUAUGUGUGCCCAAGCAUUGAGGCAGUCAAAGUAGGCAAAU